GCUUGUGGUGUGUGGAUGGAUGAAUUAGUGACCAUGUUCUUAUAACCACCUAUUUUUUGUUAAUUGAAAUACUCACCAGCUCUUGCACCCUUUUGUUAUCCCCACUUCCAUUAUUGUAAGUCACAUGGAAGGAAAGUAGUAACACCACCACAAGGAGGAGUGACAUGGUGUGACUCGUGUGCAGUGGAAAUGUGACAAAGAUGCCACAGCGUCUUACUAGUCGCCAAACAUCGAUCGUUUCCAAGUAGACCUCCCACCGGCUCCGUGCUCGACCGGUACGUGGAAUUAGGGGCACCUAUAAAAUUGAAGGUCUAAUCUAAUCCGAAGUCUGAUGGUGAUAGGUUGUGCUUAGGUGACCUAAGUGGCUGAGACAACUAUGGCAGUAUGAAGGUGAUCCCAUAGUUAAAAACAGUAUUUUAUCAAUAUUAAGGAUUUAUUGGCUUUAGUUAUCAAAAUCUUGUUGAGGCAUCGACACUGUCUCAACUUUCCAGAUUUAUGUGUGGUGAUAUUUGUAUAAUUUUUCUACCAUUUUGCUUGUUGUAAAGACUAGUAUGUAUGUAUGUAUGUAUUGGUGGGGUGACGAUCCUGCCAUUGUUGGACAGGACCGUCAGCUGCGCAAGCACUAAAGGCUUAUUGCAGUCUCCCCGUAUACACCGCUUUACUGUGCUAAGUCAUGACUCUCACGAUUUACAGAUCUACCUUGACCUACAAACCGCCCUGAUCUGAUUAUGAAUUGAAUUAGAUCGGGCAGAGACAUAGUCACUAUUUGCUCUGGUGGCAACUCAUGCCUCCCAAAGAGUUCUGACCUUAGGGCACAAUACUUGUCGCAGGACCCAAGAAAAUGAAAUACAGUCUCAGGGCCACGGCCACAUAGGAAAGACUAGUACAAAAUACAAAGAUAAACCUAGUGAAGCUUGAAACAUUUUAAACAGCUAUAAUAAAGUAGUGCUCGUAUGCGUGUAUGGGUAAACAGUGAAGGAGGAGGGAACGUGAGAUUAUUAAUGAGGCAGUUUACCUUACCUGUUUGUUGUUGCAAAUUUCUCAGAACUAUACGUCAUCAAAAAAAAACUAGAGUCGUGAAAUGUUAUUGUGCGUGAUUUCGCAUCUACCAAUGAAGAAAUGUGACAAUAUUGUAAAAAUUCAACUAAUUUAAAACCUUCACAUUACAUAAAUUAAAUUUGCAAGAAAGUUGGAAGACAAAUGAAGCACAAGAACAUAUUAGGGAAUCAGAGGACUCGCAAUAAAAAAAAUCUCACUUUGUUUAUCAUUGCUUUAAUAACGUUCAUUUUAAUGUACAUGUCCUUGAUAAAAAAUAUUUCAAAUUUCUUGCAUUGAAGAUUGACAAAUGAUAAUUGAUGAUAAUAAUGAUUGACAAAUAAAAUGUUCUUAAACAGAAAAAUUGUAAUUC
This is a long non-coding RNA of Folsomia candida, 1408 nucleotides long. RefSeq lists it as uncharacterized. The record is from RefSeq and is a predicted model, not a curated record. NCBI's taxonomy places the organism in Eukaryota, Metazoa, Arthropoda, Collembola, Entomobryomorpha, Isotomidae. The transcript has 3 exons.